CAAGAAGAAUCACUGAGGUAUCAAGAAAAGCUUUCUUCUAAUUUUGAGCAUCAUCAAUCUGGCAUUUUCUUGUACAAAUCGGUGCAUUACAGACAGACUCUGUGAAGGCAGCUGGCUGGAGGCUGGAAGCAAGGCUGGAACCAAGACAGGGCAGAAAGAACAACCCCCCACAGAGACAGCCAUUUUUCCUCAGAUUGUGUUUUUCUGAACUCAAACAGCGUUCCUUGGACCACC
Mus musculus (house mouse) is the source of this 234-nucleotide long non-coding RNA. RefSeq annotates it as predicted gene, 34233. Lineage: Eukaryota; Metazoa; Chordata; Mammalia; Rodentia; Muridae. The record is from RefSeq and is a predicted model, not a curated record. The transcript is spliced from 3 exons.